Molecule: long non-coding RNA, 399 nt
Organism: Solanum pennellii
Lineage: Eukaryota; Viridiplantae; Streptophyta; Magnoliopsida; Solanales; Solanaceae
Exons: 2
Source: RefSeq, a predicted model, not a curated record
GUGAGGUAGUUUCCUCUCUUUUAGAUCUCUAAUUUAUUUUCUUAAGCUGUUCCUUCUUUCCGCCUUUGAAUGUUGUUUUUAGGCAAAAUUGGCCAAAUCAACCUCUAGCUAAAACUUUGAUGACUCUUUUCGAAAAGAAUGUCAUCAAUCGCUGAAACCGAAACUUGCCACUCGAAAAGGCCCCUGAACCAAAAUGUGCCAUUUCAAAUAUAUCGGUCUUUUCUUUCUUUGUGAUGUGAUCAUUUGCUUGGUAUCACACAGGAUGUUGUGGUGACUGUUCUAUUUCUUGUUACCGUGUAACUGCAUCUCGUUUCCUUCUUUGCGAAACAUUACAUUUCAAAAUUCUGACCGGUCUUAUUUUCAAUCUUUGAAGUUUAUGUUACUUGUUGUCUACACUGC